GAUAUGCCAAUGGGGGAACCUGAUGCAGCUAUACGCGUGUGUGAUGAAGGUCUUAGGAUUGUAAAACACUUUCAGCAAGGGAAAAAAUUAUAUAAAUAAUACUUAUAUUAACUGAUAUUACCUGCAAAAGAAGUACCGGCUAACUCCGUGCCAGCAGCCGCGGUAAUACGGAGGGUACAAGCGUUAAUCGGAAUUAUUGGGCGUAAAGAGUACGUAGGUGGUAUAUUAAGUCAGAUGUGAAAUACUUAAGCUUAACUUAAGAACUGCAUUUGAAACUAAUAAACUAGAGUUUUAUAGAGGGGAGUAGAAUUCCAAGUGUAGCGGUGAAAUGCGUAGAUAUUUGGAGGAAUACCAGAGGCGAAGGCGACUCCCUGGGUAAUAACUGACACUGAGGUACGAAAGCUUGGGGAGCAAACAGGAUUAGAUACCCUGGUAGUCCAUGCUGUAAACGAUGUCAAUUUGAAGAUUGUAAUAUUAUUAUUUUUUAUAAUUUUCGUAGCUAACACAUUAAAUUGACCGCCUGGGGAUUACGACCGCAAGGUUAAAACUCAAAUGAAUUGACGGGGACCCGCACAAGCGGUGGAGCAUGUGGUUUUAAUUCGAUUACAAAGCGCGAAAAAAACUUUACCUUAACUCCUUUGGAACAUUCC
RNAcentral lists this ribosomal RNA (650 nucleotides) under endosymbiont of Sphenophorus levis. RNAcentral's name for it is "bacterial SSU rRNA". It matches the Rfam family "Bacterial small subunit ribosomal RNA", at positions 359 to 1001 of the family's 1533-position model. Lineage: Bacteria; Pseudomonadati; Pseudomonadota; Gammaproteobacteria. The record is from RNAcentral.